CUACGGGAUGCACCAGUGGGGAAUAUUGGACAAUGGGGGAAACCCUGAUCCAGCAAUGCCGCGUGUGUGAAGAAGGCCUGCGGGUUGUAAAGCACUUUCGGUUGGGAGGACUGCUUCUAGCACUAAUAUUGUUGGAAGUUGACGUUACCUUCAGAAGAAGCACCGGCUAACUCCGUGCCAGCAGCCGCGGUAAUACGAAGGGUGCAAGCGUUAAUCGGAAGUACUGGGCGUAAAGCGCGCGUAGGCGGCUAGAUCAGUCGGGUGUGAAAGCCCCGGGCUUAACCUGGGAACUGCAUCCGAUACUGUCUAGCUUGAGUACAGGAGAGGAGAGUGGAAUUCCACAUGUAGCGGUGAAAUGCGUAGAUAUGUGGAGGAACACCAAUGGCGAAGGCAGCUCUCUGGCCUGAUACCGACGCUGAGGUGCGAAAGCGUGGGGAGCAAACAGGAUUAGAUACCCGUGUAGUC
Molecule: ribosomal RNA, 465 nt
Filed under: uncultured bacterium
Lineage: Bacteria
Description: partial 16S ribosomal RNA
Rfam family: Bacterial small subunit ribosomal RNA
Source: RNAcentral